GCAGCAGGCGCCGCGGGGACUCGAACCCCGUCCGUCGGGAGUGCCGCCACCGGCGCCUUUUGCUUUUUUUUUUGGCCGUUUUGUCCUUUUUUUCCCUUUUUUUUUUGGGGGGCGGGGAGAUGGAUUUUGGGGCAAUUUAAGGCGAUUUUGGGCGAUUUCGUGGGUUUUGGUUCGAUUUUGGGGGGGGCGUUUGAGCUCCAAUGUCGUUUUGGGGUGAAUCUGUGAGGUUUUGGGGUUUUUUUUUGGGUGGAAAAUCGCCGAUUUCGGUACCUACGGCCGCACGGGAAGAGGCGCGCGCCCCGCCCCCGCCCCGCGUGUUUUGGGGGGGGGGGGGGGUUUCCGGUGGCGCGGCGUCCCCGGCGCAAAACGGGCUCGGAAGGCGGGAUUUUGGGGUUCGCGCUCGUGUCCGCAGCGCAAAACG
RNAcentral lists this long non-coding RNA (421 nucleotides) under Anser brachyrhynchus (Pink-footed goose). Its description in RNAcentral is "lncRNA (ENSABRG00000012824.1)". Lineage: Eukaryota; Metazoa; Chordata; Aves; Anseriformes; Anatidae. The record is from RNAcentral.